CCAUGUAUUUCACAAGCUAUGUGACACAUAGAUGAUACAGACAGACAGAGACACAGAGAGACAGACAGACAGACAGACAGAGACAGAGACAGAGACAGAGAGAAAUAGAAGAUAUAAACCACUUAAUUUCCAUUAUUCCUCAUGACCACAGCAAACAAGAAGACCAAAGGAAAAGGAAGAAAACCGGAAGGAAAAGUGAACUACAUCUCCUAGCCCUUUAAAAGACCUCUUCCUCUUAUUACUUUUAUGAGCUUAGUUAGCAAGCAUUUAAGUACCUACUGUGACCCCAACCUUGUUAAAAGCAAGGCAAGGAUACAAGAGAAGCAGUUCAUAUUCUCAAGGAAAAGGUUUACCUCUGGGGAACAUCAGGUCUAGAAGAGACCAGAGAGAUCAUCAAAUCCUCCUUCUUUGUCCUGCAGAGGAAUACACUUAACUGCACACAGGCAAAAGGACUGCCAAAGUCUAUACAGUCAGAGAACAGUGAGGAGCAGCACUCGGGUUUCCUGACUCUACGC
This 515-nucleotide long non-coding RNA is filed under the name Monodelphis domestica (gray short-tailed opossum). Its description in RNAcentral is "lncRNA (ENSMODG00000051607.1)". The record is from RNAcentral. Lineage: Eukaryota; Metazoa; Chordata; Mammalia; Didelphimorphia; Didelphidae.